UUACUACUCCCUCGGCUCUGAAUUACUCGUCGCAGAAAUGAAUGUAUCUAGAUGUAUUUUAGUUCUAGAUACAUCCAUUUCUGCGAUGAGUAAUUUGGAACGGAGGGAGUACUUG
This is a non-coding RNA of Triticum aestivum (bread wheat), 115 nucleotides long. The record is from Rfam. Lineage: Eukaryota; Viridiplantae; Streptophyta; Magnoliopsida; Poales; Poaceae.